RNAcentral lists this long non-coding RNA (5645 nucleotides) under Sus scrofa (pig). RNAcentral describes it as "lncRNA (ENSSSCG00050071957.1)". Lineage: Eukaryota; Metazoa; Chordata; Mammalia; Artiodactyla; Suidae. The record is from RNAcentral.
UUUUUUUCCAUAUUUUAAAAUGUAAAGGCCCAGCCAAGAGGAUCAGGAAACCUAGUUUCCACGUUCACAGGCUGGCUCAACUCUGUGAUCCUGGAACCCACGCUGGAGGGAAUUUAAGGAAUUACAGCUGCCCCGUGGUGGGGAGGGUUGCAAAGGCACAGUCGCAUUUCCUGGGCACCUGGGACCAAAACUGCGCGACGGACAGGACUGAACCUUUGCCGGAGGACGGCCGUCCCAUGACGACCGUCAGAGCCCUGACUCCAGGACCCCUCCCGCCACCGCUGCACCUACACCUCGUGGGUGACCCGCCCCCCUUCCUGAGGCCCCUGGGUGCCACGGCAGGUGCUGACACCCACAGGGCAGGUGGAGGCCCUCUGCUUGGCUCUGGCCACUGCUGCUCGCCACCUGCCUGCCUGACACCAGUGCGACAGCUCGGCUGGACCCCACCCAUCCUGGGGUGACCCUGGCCAGACUCAUCAGCUUCUGGAACGUGGCUCUGGCCCCUGCCUCCCCGCCUGAGGAGCACCCUGGCGCUGCCUGGUUCUGGCAUUGCCCAUAAAUGAAGAAAUCAGUCUGGUCCCAGGUCACCCUGAGCCACAGAUGACAUAGCCGGGCUGAGGGUCACACAUCCUGAAGGUGCCAUGAGGGACCUUGGCCAGUGUCAUAUCUGGGUCCCCGUCGUUUCACAAACUGAGGACUUCCUGAUGAAGGUCAGACGGGCGUGUGUGGGCAUCUGCUGACACUGUGCGCCCAACCCCAGGAGGGACCCGCCUCCGAGGUGCUGCUGUCACUGAAGGCGCCAGCCAGGAGCACAGCAUCUGUGGACUCAGGAAGCAGGUGCCCUGCCCAGGGCAGUGGGCCUGGUCCCCUGUGCUGAGGGCCCAGGGAGGACAGAAACGGGGGAGGAUGAAGUCACUCCCCACCUGAAGUGGGCGUCCACCUCCUCCCGCCUGGACGCUGGUGCAUCCAGAGACCCUGGAGCCGGUUCUCUCAGCCUUUCGGGUGUAACUGUCCCCUGAGGUUUCAGGAGCCUGUAGGUCUGGGAGACGGGUCACCACGUCACUCGAAUGGCCCCCUGUUGGUCCUGACGUGGUCUGCCCAUCAGCAGCCAAGAACCAGCUGAGAAACGCGGCCCUCUCUUCCCAGAGAGCGAAACGCUAAUUCCAUUUUAUGUGUUUUUGCCUGGACGGCAAGGCCGACUCCUGACUGCAGGGCCUCUUUCCGGUAAGACCUCAAACCAAGAGGAAACUUCCUAAGUCAGUCAUCAGAAGACUGGACUUCAGCGUUAGUCCCACCCGGGGCUCCAAAGGAGAAACACUAAGGAAACGGACCCUCUCUCCACACACGUCAGGACCCCGGCCGCCCUGGUCCCUCACUGGUUUAGGGCGUCACGUCUGUCACGGGAUCGUUAGGCCUCCUCUGCCAGGUCAGCUCCCGGGCAUCAAAAAUCUCGACUCCACGUCCUGACCGCCGCCGCCGCCGCGGAGCUGCUUCCUGCCGACGGUUCGGAGGCAGGGCUGAGUCUGCACGCGGGGCGGCCGCGUCUCCCUCUAGCGGCUCUUCCUAAAGAGCCGCGUGUUAAAAAGUGAGUUGUGUAAACCAAGCACUUAUUGCUCAUUGAUCGAUGUUACACGUUCAACUUCCACCUUCAGUAUCAUUUUUUUAAUAACCCAGGCUCUUGGCUGUGAACAAUUAGACAUUAAAGGAACCCUUUGACCAAUUACGUCACAAACAAAGAAGCAUUUUGCAACGUACACAAUACACCACAAAAAGUUCCACCUCUGAUUUCUAAACACCUUGAGGUUAAUUCUGGGAGACAGCAGGAGGUCCACAGCCCUUUCCUCCGGCGUGGGGGUGCCUGGGGAGGCAGGGCUCCAGACCCCAUGCAUGAGCGGGCGCUCCAGGGCCUCUCCCACCUUCCCCAAGAAGGCGCCUGGCAACCCCAGCACCUGCCACAGUCACAGAACAGGCGUCUGUCCUUGUGGACGUGGACCAGAUUCUCAUGGUGCUUCUGGCCCUCAAACUGUGACACAUUCCAAGAAAAACACAGGCGUAUCCUGAUGGUGGCCAUUUGUAAGUUUUCACUGACCUCCCACUCAUGAAGAGGUGCACUGAGACCCACUGAGGCAUCUGUGAUGCUAAACCCCACCGCGCGGGAAGCCGGAUGUGGGCUUUCAACUCCAGCGUGAGGAAGCACAAGGCCUGGGCCCCACUGUGCCAGGCGCGGGCACCACCACACACACAUCACGUCCCGAGGACGAAGCACUUCCCACUGCAAGGUGAUGGGCAGGUGUGCACGCUGCGUGAGCAAGCUCACCUCGACUGAGGCCAGCACCCCCAGCCCAGGGCGAGCCGCUCUCCGUCUCUACAAACGUCCACACUGUACUGCGAUUAUCACACAAAUCUGAGCCUAAGUCUCCCACCCGCAAAACAGAACACACUGUGGGGAAUAGUUCCGCACUCACUCCGGCUGAACUAUUAAAACAAGCAGCACUGCGCACCCAGCACAGAGGCUGGCACUUCCAAAGCAGCUGAUGACCAUCGCUGUGGGGGGGUACCUGUUGCUGUGGGGGGUACCCAUCGCUGUGGGGGGUACCCAUCACUGUGGGGGGUACCCAUCACUGUGGGGGGGUACCUAUCGCUGUGGGGGGUUCACCCCGGGUCCUCAUCCCAGUACCUUACUCACUUCUCUUCCUCGUCACCGAGGCAUCCAAGAAGCAACGUAAACUGGAGACAUUCUUUCCAUAAGAAGACAGAUUUUCAGUUUGGAGAACCCAGCACAUAACAUCCACGGUCUGUGCCUGACCAGGAACAACCGCCAAAGUGUGCAUUAAAUAAUCCUAAGAUGUAUGGACCCAGAACUGCCAAAGCAGUGCGGAGGGAAAAGAGCAAAGCAGGAGGCAUAACCCUCCCAGGCCUCGGACAACAGGGCAAAGCUACCGUGCUGCAGACAGUGUGGUAGUGGCACAAAAACAGAGGGGCGGGACAGAGUCGAGCCCAGAAGUAGCCCCACACGUUCACGGUCAAUUAAUCUUCGACAGAGGAAGCAAGAAUAUACAACGGAGAAAAGACAGGCUCUUCAGCAGGUGUGCUGGGAGAGCUGGCCAGCCAUGCAAAAUCGGUGAAGCUGGAACACCCCCUCACACCAUGCCCAAAAAUAGACCCCAAAUGGCUUCAAGACUGAAACAUAAGACAAGACACCAUCCAACUCCCAGAAGAGAACACAGGCAACACAUUCUCUGACUUCAACCGUACAAAUGUUUUCUUAGGUUAGGCUCUCGAAGCAACAGAAAGAAAACCAAAAACAAACAAAUGGGCCCUAAUGAAACUUAGAAGCUUUUGUACAGCAAAGGAAACCAUAAACAGAAAGACAGACCAUGAGCUGGGAGAAAAUAUUUGCAAAUUUUGCCACUGACAAAGGCUUAAUUUUCAAAAUAUACGAAUAGCUCUUACAACUCAACAACAGCAACAAAAACAAACAAACAAACAACCCAGUCAAAAAAUGGGCAGAAGACCUGAAGAGACAUUUCUCCAAAGAAGACGCAGAGACGGCCAACAGGCACACGAAACGACGCUCGGCAUCACCGGCUGUUAGAGAAAAACGCAGACCAAAACUGCAGUGGAGCACCACCUCACACCAGCAAGCGUGGCCAUCACCAAAAUCUACAACCAAACGCUGGAGAAGGAGUGGAGAAAAGGGGACCCUCCUGCACUGAGGGGGGAACGUAAAUUGGUACAAUCACUCUGGAGAACAGUACGGAGGCUUUUAAAAACUAAAAAUAGAGUUACCGUAUUAGCAGCAAUCCCACUCCUGGGCAUGUAUUUGGAGAAAACCAUAAUUCAAAAAGAUACAGGCACCCCAAUGUUCACCGCAGCACUAGUCACAACAGCCAAGACACGGAAGCAACCCCAGUGUUCACCAAGAGACGGAUGGAUACAGAAGAUGUGGCACAUGUUACAGGCUGGAAUAUCACUCGGCCACAAAAAAGAAUGAAACAGUACCAUUUGCAGCAACAUGGACGGGCCUAGAGAUUAGUGAAGGAAGUCAGAGAAGGACAAAUACCAUGUGGUAUCACUUAUAUGUCGAAUCUCAAAUACGGCAUAGAUGAACUUAACUGUGAAACAGAAGCAGACUCACAGGGAGUUCCCAUCGUGGCGCAGUGGUUAACGAAUCCAACUAGGAACCAUGAGGUUGCGGGUUCGGUCCCUGCCCUUGCUCAGUGGGUUGAUGAUCCGGCGUUGCCGUGAGCUGUGGUGUAGGGCAUGGCAACACCAGAUCCUUAACCCACUGAGUGAGGCCAGGGAUCGAACCUGGGUCAGAUUCAAUAACCACUGAGCCACGACAGGAACUCCAGGUUUUCUACAUAUAGUAUCAUGUCAUCUGCAUAGAAUGACAGAUUUACCUCUUCUCUCCCACUUUGGAUACCUUUCAUUUCUUUCGUUUGUCUGAUAGCUGUGGCUAGGACUUCCAAUACUCUGGAAUAAAAGUGGUGAGAGUGGGCGUCCUUGUCCUGUUCCAGAUUUUAGCAGGAAGGCUUUCAGCUUGUCUCCAUUGAGUUUUAUAUUGGCUGUGGGUUUGCCGUAAAUGGCUUUUAUCACGUUAAGGUAUGUUCCCUCUGCACGCACUUCAGUAAGAGUUUUUAUCUUGAAUGGAUGCCGGAUUUUGUUGGAUGCUUUUUCUGCAUCUGUUGAGAUGAACGUGUGGUUUUGGACUUUUCUUUUGUUAAUGUGGUGUGUGACGCUGAUUGACUUGCAUAUAUUAAGCCAUCCUUGUGAACUUGGGAUGGAUCCACUUGGUCGUGGUGUGGGAUCUUUUUUAUGUGUUGUUGGAUUUGGUUGGCUAAUACUUUGUUGAGAACUUUUGCGUCUGUACUCAUUGAAGAUAUUGGCCUAUAAUUUUCUUUUUUGGUGGUAUCUUUGGUUUUGGUGUUAGGGUGAUGGUGGCUUCAUAGACUGUCUCUGGCUGUGUUCCUUCUUCUUCGGCCUUUUGGAAAAGUUUAAGGAGGAUGGGUAUAAGUUCCUCUUUGUAUGUUUGGUAGAAUUUGCCUGUGAAGCCAUCUGGUCUUGGACUUUGGUUUGUAGAGAGUAUUUUUAUGACAUAUUCAAUGUCAUUUCUAGUGAUUGGUCUGUUCAGUUGAUCUGUUUCUUCUUGAUUCAGUUUGGGUGGGCGGUAAGUCUCUAGAAAGCUGUCCAUUUUUCCAUCAGCAGUUAAAUAUCUCAAUGGAUACAUCUGAAGAUAAACCCUACAUGUCCACAACCCAAAGCUGACCCCACUCGCUCUGGAGCCCCACUGGACCAGGCCCAUGUGGUGCACAGCUGUGCUUCCUGGCAGCCCCUCGGGUCUGAGCCACUCUGUGGGGCCCGGUACCCCCCGGGAGCUGUUAGGAUUCCACCUUCAUUUUCAGAGCUUCCUCUCGGCUGUAGGCGUCGUGAGAGCAAUUUCAUCAGUCCUGGAAUAAUCUGCUUCCACGAGACCCACAGGUCUUCCCUUGACAGCUGAGCCACGUCACCGAGGAGCACACUACUUUUGAACCACGUCUAGUAACUUAUUCCAAGGGGCUCCAAACAUCCAUGUGUGCAAAGGGAUACACUGUAUCUCUCAGUUAAAAUUUACGUAAAAAGAGAAGACUAGUCCUGGACUCUGC